RNAcentral lists this unclassified non-coding RNA (348 nucleotides) under uncultured Gemmatimonadota bacterium. RNAcentral describes it as "uncultured Gemmatimonadetes bacterium contains 16S-23S intergenic spacer region". The record is from RNAcentral. Lineage: Bacteria; Pseudomonadati; Gemmatimonadota.
UCCGGCUUACCGCCGGCAGUCUCCGUAGAGUCCCCGCCAUGACGCGCUGGCAACUACGGAUAAGGGUUGCGCUCGUUGCGGGACUUAACCCAACCUCUCACGACACGAGCUGACGACAGCCAUGCAGCACCUGUGCAAGCUCCCCUUGGAUGUCAAGACCAGGUAAGGUUCUGCGCGUUGCGUCGAAUUAAACCACAUGCUCCACCGCUUGUGCGGGCCCCCGUCAAUUCCUUUGAGUUUCAGCCUUGCGGCCGUACUCCCCAGGCGGGGCACUUAAUGCGUUAGCGCCGGCACCCAGGGGGUCGCUCCCCCAGGCACCUAGUGCCCAUCGUUUACGGCGUGGACUAC